RNAcentral lists this unclassified non-coding RNA (21 nucleotides) under Dictyostelium discoideum. The record is from RNAcentral. Lineage: Eukaryota; Evosea; Eumycetozoa; Dictyosteliales; Dictyosteliaceae.
GGGCUGCGGAUGGAUCAUUUU